GCCACAAAUAAUGGAAGAGAAAGAAACUUGAUUCUGAAAUCUGAUGUUACAUUGCAACACGAUGAUGUGA
Molecule: small nucleolar RNA, 70 nt
Organism: Sciurus vulgaris (Eurasian red squirrel)
Lineage: Eukaryota; Metazoa; Chordata; Mammalia; Rodentia; Sciuridae
Gene: SNORD82
Rfam family: Small nucleolar RNA SNORD82
About the family: snoRNA U82 or Z25 is found in both humans and mice.
Source: Ensembl